This 412-nucleotide ribosomal RNA is filed under the name uncultured eukaryote. Its description in RNAcentral is "partial 18S ribosomal RNA". It matches the Rfam family "Eukaryotic small subunit ribosomal RNA", at positions 568 to 881 of the family's 1831-position model. The record is from RNAcentral.
CAGCAGCCGCGGUAAUUCCAGCUCUAAUAGCGUAUAUUAAUACUGUUGCAGUUAAAACGCUCGUAGUUGAACUUAGGAUUAUUACAAGGUAUUUUGCUUGAUUGUAAAAUUCUUGCUUAAUCCUUAUCUACUAGAUACUCUAUUCUGUACUUAAUUGUAUGGAAUAUCACCUAGCCAGUGGAACUUUGGUGAAAUAAUGCCUUUUUUAAUACCAGAGUGUAAAAACUUGAAGUGUUAAAUUGGGAUAACAUUAUUUUAUUGAAGCGGGGUUCUAGUUAAUUUACUUUGAGUAAAUUAGAGUGUUCAAAGCAGCCUCUUGGGGCUUUGAAUAGAUUUAGCAUGGGAUAAUAGAAUAGGAUUUGAUAAUCUAUUUGUUGGUUUGAAUUAAUCAAAUAAUGAUUAAUAGGGACAG